Molecule: ribosomal RNA, 460 nt
Filed under: uncultured bacterium
Lineage: Bacteria
Description: partial 16S ribosomal RNA
Rfam family: Bacterial small subunit ribosomal RNA
Source: RNAcentral
CCUACGGGUGGCAGCAGUGAGGAAUAUUGGUCAAUGGACGAGAGUCUGAACCAGCCAAGUAGCGUGAAGGAUGACUGCCCUAUGGGUUGUAAACUUCUUUUAUAUGGGAAUAAAACAGGGUAUGCAUACCCUCUUGUAUGUACCAUAUGAAUAAAGAACGGCUAAUUCCGUGCCAGCAGCCGCGGUAAUACGGAGGAUCCGAGCGUUAUCCGGAUUUCUUGGGGUUAAAGGGCGCGUAGGUGGAUUGUUAAGUCAGUUGUGAAAGGUUGCGGCUCAACCGUAGAAUUGCAGUUGAAACUGGCAGUCUUGAGUACAGUAGAGGUGGGCGGAAUUCGUGGUGUAGCGGUGACAUGCUUAGAAAUCACGAAGAACUCCGAUUGCGAAGGCAGCUCACUGGACUGCAACUGACACUGAUGCUCGAAAGUGUGGGUAUCAAACAGGAUUAGAUACCCCAGUAGUC